Molecule: non-coding RNA, 194 nt
Filed under: Erythrobacter dokdonensis
Lineage: Bacteria; Pseudomonadati; Pseudomonadota; Alphaproteobacteria; Sphingomonadales; Erythrobacteraceae
Source: RNAcentral
CCCGUCUGCGCGCGUUUCGGUAACGGGAAUGCGGUGCAAAUCCGCAGCUGUCCCUGCAACUGUAAGCGGUGAGUGUGGGCUGCGCGCUUCCCUUGACGGGGAGCAGCCACUGGGGCCUUCGGGCCAUCCGGGAAGGCGAGCGCCGGAUACGUUGAUCCGUGAGCCAGGAGACCGACCGGGGCGUGUCGCUCUAU